Molecule: long non-coding RNA, 1208 nt
Filed under: Pan troglodytes (chimpanzee)
Lineage: Eukaryota; Metazoa; Chordata; Mammalia; Primates; Hominidae
Description: lincRNA
Source: RNAcentral
GGACGCUCUACCGGGGUGGGGGUUCCCAGAAAGGAGGGGGAGAGGAGCCCCAGUAGGGGAAUCCUGCCCUCUCAAGUAAAAAGCUGGAUCCCCCGGCAGCAGGCUGCAGCCCGUCCUCGCUAAGGAAACGACGAGUCAGACAGAGGGCCUUUUGCUCGGAAAGGCAGAAGGCAGACACUUUCCGAGGUCCGGACGCAAGCCGAUCCCCCAUCCCCCGAGGGAGGCGAAGGGUGCCCCAUGGGUGGCUGAGGGGACGCCCGGCCCGCGAGGGACAACCCGAGGAGGAGCAGUUUCAUCUGAUUAACACCUGAGUCUCGUCCAGUGUGACAUUCUUCAGAAUUCAUCCUGGAAUCAAUAUUAUGCCAAAGAAAAUUUUCUGAAAGUCUUGCUGUGUCAGCCAGGCUGGAAUGCAGUGGCGCCAUCUCAGUUCACUGCAACUUCUGUCUCCUGGGCUCAAGCAAUUCUCCUGCCUCAGCCUCCCGAGUAGCUGGGAUUACAGCUACACAGAUCAUACCACUGCAACUCAGCCAACCAGCACAUCGGACAGUGGGAGGAGGAAUUCUUGGCUAAGAGUACUGAGGUAAACUCUUCAUCUACUUGGAAAUGCUUAGAACAGAAAAGCCUGUACCCUGAUUUACUGAGAGGAAAAGUUGGCUGACUCUUGGUCUGAAUUGAAAUAUUCCUCCUUUGACCAAUACCAUGAAUAAAAAAAGAACCAGACUAAGGACAUUACUGUGAGUUUUCAGAACAUCAGAGAUAAAGAGAAAAACCUGAGAUUCCACAGAGAAACGAAGGUCAUUUUACAAAGGAUCAGAAAUGAGAAUGGGAUUGAACUUCUCAAAACCAGCAGUGGAGAGUACAAGAAAGUAGAGCAUUGCCCUCAAUAUACUGCAGGGAAAACAACUUUCAACGUGGAAUUUAAUCCAGUGUAAGGAUAGAAUAGAGUGUUUUUAGACAGCCAUGUCUCAAAAAUUGUACUUUUUGUCUUCUGCAGAGGAGAUGAUUCAGUGCAAUAAGGAAAUAAACCAAGACAUGAAAGAUAUGGAGGACUGUGGGCAGGACAGUGACAGGAGAUCCUAGAAAGACAGCUGGGCUCCAGGCCCAGAGAGCAACUGGUCCAGGCUGGAGCAGAACUGAGUUGGCCAGGGCUGGGGUCUCCAGGGAAAAAAAAAAGAACCAAUGGUUUAUCUAUGUGCUGGACCCAGUGG